ACCCAGCUGACGAGUCUCAAAUAGAACGAAACAUGCUUCCUGGAU
Molecule: non-coding RNA, 45 nt
Organism: Schistosoma haematobium
Lineage: Eukaryota; Metazoa; Platyhelminthes; Trematoda; Strigeidida; Schistosomatidae
Source: Rfam